Molecule: ribosomal RNA, 253 nt
Filed under: uncultured bacterium
Lineage: Bacteria
Description: partial 16S ribosomal RNA
Rfam family: Bacterial small subunit ribosomal RNA
Source: RNAcentral
UACGGAGGGUGCAAGCGUUGUCCGGAAUCACUGGGCGUAAAGGGCGCGUAGGCGGCUCAUGAAGGCUGUGGUGAAAGUCCGGGGCUCAACCUCGGAUCGGCCGUGGCGACUCGUGGGCUGGAGCACUGUAGAGGCGGGUGGAAUUCCGGGUGUAGCGGUGAAAUGCGUAGAGAUGUGGAGGAACACCAGUGGCGAAGGCGGCUCUUUGGUCUGUAACUGACGCUGAGGCGCGAAAGCGUGGGGAGCGAACAGG